This is a long non-coding RNA of Nyctereutes procyonoides (raccoon dog), 313 nucleotides long. RefSeq lists it as uncharacterized. Lineage: Eukaryota; Metazoa; Chordata; Mammalia; Carnivora; Canidae. The record is from RefSeq and is a predicted model, not a curated record. The transcript has 3 exons.
CACGCCCAAGGACUAUCGCUCCCCAGCGAACUCGCUGCACUCAGGGACCAGUCCCCAGGACGCUGUGCAGGCGGUCAAGGACAGCGAGUCAGAGAGGAUGGGGCCCUGCAGCUGAGCACCCGUCCAGCACCCACCAGUCUGCACGCAGGAGGCAGCGCGGGGAAGCAGAAAAGGCGAACCACAAGCAAACCUCUAAGGAGCCCUCCGAAACCUCUGCCAUCCCUCGGCCACUUCUCUUGCCAGGACCUUUUGACUCGCGCGAUUGGGGGAGGGGAGCAAGUAAGUAUCCCUUCUCGUCCCUGCCCUGCCAGUC